CAUGUCCACAUUGCAAACACAGGGCCAGUUCUGUACCAUUUUAACCAUCAUGGCUCCCCUGCAAAGACUCUUGGGACUCUGGAACGAUCAGUCGGCAAAGGGGCCAGGAAUUCUAAGACACCCCUAGGCCCAAUCCCACGGAAUGGCAGAAUGUCCCUUGCGGCAAAAGAUCCGACUCGGAAUCCAGUUUAAAGUCAGUUGUGUAGAUUUCCUCCAAGAAUCCUGACACCCAACACAAGCUCUUCCCAAAACUAGACAACAACACCAGGAGUCAAGACUGAAUUCGCCUUCAGUUCCCGACCUGACUCCGACCAUUAAGCCGUAUUCCAAACCUGCGUUCAAAACCGACUCGAGAAACCUUCCAUCCUGGUAACCUGAUGGCUCUAAACAUUUCUUGCAGGGAGAAAGAAACACAAAACCUGUUUUCUUUUGCAAAAUGCUUCCCUGCAAGAGAAAGCCCCUUCUCAUCCUUUGCCGGAGCAAAACCUACCAACUUUUUAUUGCGGGGGACCAAAAUGAUGGAAAUUUGGGCGCAGAAAAUAGACGGGUGAGAAAGCAACAUCUCGAUUCUUCCCUUCCACACUCCAUAUCGUGUCUCCGCCUUUAAUGGCACAAAAGAGGGGUUUGCAUUGUAGGUUGAAGGGGGGGAGAAAGAUAAGAAAGGUGAAGGGAAUAAAUAACCCAGGAUCAACACUGUGCCAUAUAGGAAAAUCCCCCCAACCCCAAUUCCCCCACUUCUAUCACUAAGAAUCUGUAGCAGAGCUGUCCGGGAUAAGGGAAGAGAUUUAUUUUCUAUCAAAAAAAAAUAUUUUGGGGGGUGUCAUUGCAAUGAAAGUCAAAGACAGGAAUAUCAGACCCUCACUGCAUAUAAUAUAAUGUAUAUAUACCUCUCUCUCUCUCUCUCUCUCUCACACACACACACACACACACACACAGUGUUUUCAACAUACAGGUGACAUCACAAUGCGUUGCCAUGGAAAACGACAUUAAGUAUUACAAGAUCAAAGAUGUUGAGGCAAAGUAGAGAGAUGUAUUCCUCGGUUUUUUUAUGUGGCAAGGGG
Molecule: non-coding RNA, 1061 nt
Organism: Podarcis lilfordi (Lilford's wall lizard)
Lineage: Eukaryota; Metazoa; Chordata; Lepidosauria; Squamata; Lacertidae
Source: the annotation of a GenBank genome assembly